This 711-nucleotide ribosomal RNA is filed under the name Triticum aestivum (bread wheat). RNAcentral's name for it is "partial small subunit ribosomal RNA". The record is from RNAcentral. Lineage: Eukaryota; Viridiplantae; Streptophyta; Magnoliopsida; Poales; Poaceae.
AUUGGCGACUUCAAUGAGAUUUUGCUCUCUUCAGAGAAGGAGGGUAGAGCGUCGCGGCAGCAGGCGAGACUCCACGCGUUCCAAGAUGCGUUGUCUGAUUGUUCCUUGGAGGACAUAGGAUACCAUGGCGAUAAAUUCACAUGGUUCCGAGGUGGUCUGAGGGAACGUUUGGAUCGGGCCGUCUCUAAUGCCGAAUGGAUGGAAAUGCACCCCUUGUGUGGACUGUGCAACCUUGAUAUGGGGAAAUCAGAUCAUAGACCGAUAUGUCUGGACACUGACUACUUGGCCGGCGUGGCAGCCCCAAGGAAGCAGGCAAGACGUGUGUUUGAGGCCUGUUGGUUAUCUGAGGAAACAGUGGAAGAAGUAGUUAAAAUGACUUGGCAAAAAGCGGCCACUCGGGGGCUGUGCCCUUCGGCCAACUCAAAGCUUGCGGCAGUUCAUAGAGACUUACAUGCUUGGGAUCGCAAAGUGUUGAAAGGGCCACGUGCUCGCCUGCGAACGGCACAGAAGGAUCUAGAAAAUCUAAUGCGCUCAUCGUUUACGAUCGAGACAAGUCUGAAACAAAAGGACCUUACGGUGUUGAUCGAGAACCUGCUCGAGCAAGAAGAAAUAUAUUGGGCACAGCGUGGGCGAGUGAACUGGUUGCGCCGAGGAGAUCAAACACAAAGUUUUUUAAUCAAUCUGCUUCAGCUCGUAGGUGUCAUAAUUUGA